This 1491-nucleotide ribosomal RNA is filed under the name uncultured bacterium. RNAcentral's name for it is "bacterial SSU rRNA". It matches the Rfam family "Bacterial small subunit ribosomal RNA". The record is from RNAcentral.
GAGUUUGAUCCUGGCUCAGGAUGAACGCUGGCGGCGUGCCUAAUACAUGCAAGUCGAACGAGGGUUCCUUCGGGAACUCGAGUGGCGAACGGGUGAGUAACACGUAGGUAACCUACCUUUAAGUCUGGGAUACCCGGAGGAAACUCUGGCUAAUACCGGAUAUGAGCUUGGAAGGCAUCUUCCUUGCUUGAAAGGGGCUCUUGGCCUCGCUUUUAGAUGGACCUGCGGCGCAUUAGCUAGUUGGUGAGAUAAUAGCCCACCAAGGCGAGGAUGCGUAGCCGGCCUGAGAGGGUGAUCGGCCACACUGGAACUGAGACACGGUCCAGACUCCUACGGGAGGCAGCAGUAGGGAGUUUUCGGCAAUGGGCGAAAGCCUGACCGAGCAACGCCGCGUGAGUGAUGACGGUCCUUUGGAUUGUAAAGCUCUGUUGUGAGGAACGAAAAAUAAGAAGAGGAAAUGCUUUUUAUCUGACGGUACCUUACCAGAAAGCCACGGCUAACUACGUGCCAGCAGCCGCGGUAAUACGUAGGUGGCAAGCGUUAUCCGGAAUUAUUGGGCGUAAAGAGUGAGCAGGCGGCACCAUAAGUUGAAAGUCAAAUCGUAAGGCUCAACCUUACUUCGCUUUCAAAACUGUGGAGCUAGAGUGCGAGAGAGGUAAGUGGAAUUCCUAGUGUAGCGGUGGAAUGCGUAGAUAUUAGGAGGAACACCAGAGGCGAAGGCGGCUUACUGGCUCGUAACUGACGCUCAGUCACGAAAGCGUGGGUAGCAAAUAGGAUUAGAUACCCUAGUAGUCCACGCCGUAAACGAUGAGAACUAAUUGUUGCCGGAUGGCAGUGAUGAAGCUAACGCAUUAGUUCUCCGCCUGGGGAGUACGCCUCGCAAGAGUGAAACUUAAAGGAAUKGACGGGGGCCCGCACAAGUAGUGGAGCAUGUGGUUUAAUUCGAAGAUACGCGAAGAACCUUACCAGGGCUUGACAUAGAGCUAAAGGCUGUAGAAAUACGGAGAUAGUUAUAGCUCAUACAGGUGGUGCAUGGUUGUCGUCAGCUCGUGUCGUGAGAUGUUGGGUUAAGUCCCGCAACGAGCGCAACCCUUGUCCUUAGUUACCAUCAUUCAGUUGGGGACUCUAAGGAGACUGCCGGUGUUAAACCGGAGGAAGGUGGGGAUGACGUCAAAUCAUCAUGCCCUUUAUGUCCUGGGCGACACACGUGCUACAAUGGCCGGUACAAAGAGACGCCAGGUGGUGACACUGAGCAAAUCUCGGAAAGCCGGUCUCAGUUCGGAUUGGAGUCUGCAACUCGACUUCAUGAAGCUGGAAUUACUAGUAAUCGCAGAUCAGCCAUGCUGCGGUGAAUACGUUCCCGGGCCUUGUACACACCGCCCGUCAGACCAUGAGAGCUGGUAAUACUCGAAGCCGUUAUUCUAACCCGCAAGGGAGGGAGACGUCUAAGGUAGGACUAGUGAUUGGGGUUAAGUCGUAACAAGGUAACCA